RNAcentral lists this ribosomal RNA (493 nucleotides) under uncultured bacterium. RNAcentral describes it as "partial 16S ribosomal RNA". It matches the Rfam family "Bacterial small subunit ribosomal RNA", at positions 30 to 523 of the family's 1533-position model. The record is from RNAcentral.
AUUGAACGCUGGCGGCAUGCCUUACACAUGCAAGUCGAACGGUAACAGGUUAAGCUGACGAGUGGCGAACGGGUGAGUGAUAUAUCGGAACGUGCCCAGUCGUGGGGGAUAACGCAGCGAAAGCUGUGCUAAUACCGCAUACGAUCUACGGAUGAAAGCGGGGGAUCGCAAGACCUCGCGCGAUUGGAGCGGCCGAUAUCAGAUUAGCUAGUUGGUGGGGUAAAAGCCCACCAAGGCGACGAUCUGUAGCUGGUCUGAGAGGACGACCAGCCACACUGGAACUGAGACACGGUCCAGACUCCUACGGGAGGCAGCAGUGGGGAAUUUUGGACAAUGGGCGAAAGCCUGAUCCAGCCAUUCCGCGUGCAGGAUGAAGGCCCUCGGGUUGUAAACUGCUUUUGUACAGAACGAAAAGGUUUCUACUAAUACUAGGAGCUCAUGACGGUACUGUAAGAAUAAGCACCGGCUAACUACGUGCCAGCCGCCGCGGUAA